RNAcentral lists this ribosomal RNA (492 nucleotides) under uncultured bacterium. Its description in RNAcentral is "partial 16S ribosomal RNA". It matches the Rfam family "Bacterial small subunit ribosomal RNA", at positions 29 to 507 of the family's 1533-position model. The record is from RNAcentral.
AGUGAGCGCUGGCGGUAGGCCUAACACAUGCAAGUCGAACGGCAGCACAGUAAGAGCUUGCUCUUACGGGUGGCGAGUGGCGGACGGGUGAGGAAUACAUCGGAAUCUACUUUUUCGUGGGGGAUAACGUAGGGAAACUUACGCUAAUACCGCAUACGACCUACGGGUGAAAGCAGGGGAUCUUCGGACCUUGCGCGAUUGAAUGAGCCGAUGUCGGAUUAGCUAGUUGGCGGGGUAAAGGCCCACCAAGGCGACGAUCCGUAGCUGGUCUGAGAGGAUGAUCAGACACACUGGAACUGAGACACGGUCCAGACUCCUACGGGAGGCAGCAGUGGGGAAUAUUGGACAAUGGGCGCAAGCCUGAUCCAGCCAUACCGCGUGGGUGAAGAAGGCCUUCGGGUUGUAAAGCCCUUUUGUUUGGAAAGAAAAGCAGCAGGUUAAUACCCCGCUGUUCUGACGGUACCCAAAGAAUAAGCACCGGCUAACUUCGUG